AGACAUGAUUAGAAAUCCACGGGCUGUAUGGCCAAAAAAAAGGAAAAAAGAAAUUAUAUAGUCAGAUAUUUGAUACCAAAAACAAAAGAAAGAGGGCCUGAUGCAAAGAACUUUUCAAAUUUGAUAUUUUCAAACUAUGAAUGGCAGUAGGGUAGAGUAUCCGAGAAAUUUGACUACCCGCAUCCGAAAAUAUUUAAUAUCCCCAUCACGCAUGCCCUUCCCAAAUCCAAUUAGGAUUCACCCCUUGCUAUCCGUAUCCAUCAAAACUAGAAUAUUACACUUUAAAAAUAUUGAACAUUGUAAUAAUAAUUAUGCACAAAAAUUUGGUGAAAAAAGUUAAACAGUAUUCAAAUUAAGAAUGCAUGGGCAUCAACCUACCUACUCCUCUGCACAUAAACAAUUGAAAUUGGGAAUGUUACCAGGCAAGAUGGAUAUAUCAAAACCAUUACUUUUAAAGGGUUGAGAAAUGCCAGCAGCAUUUUUACAACUCUUCACAUAUUCAGUACUGUCAACAGUUGACAUCUUAUAACGUCCUAAAGUACAAAUUAAGUUCAGGAAAUUAUCAAUCAAGAGAAUUAACUAAUAUAUGCAUGAUUUGGUUUGGUUUGGUUUAGUUUAAAUAAGAAUCUUAAAACUUCAGAACUAAACCAACCAAUUCAGUUUGGCUUCCGGUUUUAAGUUAUUUCGAAUUCCCAACUUAGCUCAAUGGGUUUUGCUGCUGCAAUUAACAGAGAAACAAGAAACAUCAAAGAAAAAAACAAGGCUUUAACCACAACAUAAAAAUAAACCAUUUAACAUUACAUUACAUAAAACCAAUAUUCUACCAAAAAAAUAUAUAUACAUAAUAAAAAUUGUUUAAGCACAUCAAAGAAAAGGUGCAAAUUCACACUAUCCAAUUGAUCGCCCCCUUGUACUUAAUUCAAGUGUAGAUCAAAUGCAUCAUAUAAAUUUUGAAAAGUUAAAAAUAAUAAUAAAGGAACCAAAAAAAUUACCAAAAAAUUAAUUCUGGGGUGGAA
Molecule: unclassified non-coding RNA, 1016 nt
Filed under: Hevea brasiliensis (rubber tree)
Lineage: Eukaryota; Viridiplantae; Streptophyta; Magnoliopsida; Malpighiales; Euphorbiaceae
Source: RNAcentral